This 508-nucleotide ribosomal RNA is filed under the name uncultured bacterium. RNAcentral's name for it is "partial 16S ribosomal RNA". It matches the Rfam family "Bacterial small subunit ribosomal RNA", at positions 28 to 507 of the family's 1533-position model. The record is from RNAcentral.
GACGAACGCUGGCGGCGUGCCUAAUACAUGCAAGUCGAACGCUUCUUUCCUCCCGAGUGCUUGCACUCAAUUGGAAAGAGGAGUGGCGGACGGGUGAGUAACACGUGGGUAACCUACCCAUCAGAGGGGGAUAACACUUGGAAACAGGUGCUAAUACCGCAUAACAGUUUAUGCCGCAUGGCAUAAGAGUGAAAGGCGCUUUCGGGUGUCGCUGAUGGAUGGACCCGCGGAGCAUUAGCUAGUUGGUGAGGUAACGGCUCACCAAGGCCACGAUGCAUAGCCGACCUGAGAGGGUGAUCGGCCACACUGGGACUGAGACACGGCCCAGACUCCUACGGGAGGCAGCAGUAGGGAAUCUUCGGCAAUGGACGAAAGUCUGACCGAGCAACGCCGCGUGAGUGAAGAAGGUUUUCGGAUCGUAAAACUCUGUUGUUAGAGAAGAACAAGGACGUUAGUAACUGAACGUCCCCUGACGGUAUCUAACCAGAAAGCCACGGCUAACUACGUG